CGGGAUGUAGCGCAGCCUGGUAGCGUACUCGUCUGGGGGGCGAGGGGUCGCAAGUUCAAAUCUUGUCAUCCCGA
RNAcentral lists this transfer RNA (74 nucleotides) under Flavobacteriia bacterium. RNAcentral's name for it is "tRNA-Pro". It matches the Rfam family "tRNA". Rfam says of the family: Transfer RNA (tRNA) molecules are approximately 80 nucleotides in length. Their secondary structure includes four short double-helical elements and three loops (D, anti-codon, and T loops). Lineage: Bacteria; Pseudomonadati; Bacteroidota; Flavobacteriia. The record is from RNAcentral.